GAUCAGGCUCAGGAUGAACGCUAGCUACAGGCUUAACACAUGCAAGUCGAGGGGCAGCAUGGUCUUAGCUUGCUAAGGCUGAUGGCGACCGGCGCACGGGUGAGUAACACGUAUCCAACCUGCCGUCUACUCUUGGCCAGCCUUCUGAAAGGAAGAUUAAUCCAGGAUGGCAUCAUGAGUUCACAUGUCCGCAUGAUUAAAGGUAUUUUCCGGUAGACGAUGGGG
Molecule: ribosomal RNA, 225 nt
Filed under: uncultured bacterium
Lineage: Bacteria
Description: partial 16S ribosomal RNA
Rfam family: Bacterial small subunit ribosomal RNA
Source: RNAcentral